Molecule: ribosomal RNA, 1361 nt
Filed under: uncultured bacterium
Lineage: Bacteria
Description: bacterial SSU rRNA
Rfam family: Bacterial small subunit ribosomal RNA
Source: RNAcentral
GAUGAACGCUGGCGGCGUGCUUAACACAAGCAAGUCGAACGAAGCACUUUAUUUGAUUUCCUUCGGGACUGAUUAUUUUGUGACUGAGUGGCGGACGGGUGAGUAACGCGUGGGUAACCUGCCUUGUACAGGGGGAUAACAGUUGGAAACGGCUGCUAAUACCGCAUAAGCGCACAGCAUCGCAUGAUGCAGUGUGAAAAACUCUGGUGGUAUAAGAUGGACCCGCGUUGGAUUAGCUAGUUGGUGAGGUAACGGCCCACCAAGGCGACGAUCCAUAGCCGACCUGAGAGGGUGACCGGCCACAUUGGGACUGAGACACGGCCCAAACUCCUACGGGAGGCAGCAGUGGGGAAUAUUGCACAAUGGGCGAAAGCCUGAUGCAGCGACGCCGCGUGAGCGAAGAAGUAUUUCGGUAUGUAAAGCUCUAUCAGCAGGGAAGAUAAUGACGGUACCUGACUAAGAAGCACCGGCUAAAUACGUGCCAGCAGCCGCGGUAAUACGUAUGGUGCAAGCGUUAUCCGGAUUUACUGGGUGUAAAGGGAGCGCAGGCGGUGCGGCAAGUCUGAUGUGAAAGCCCGGGGCUCAACCCCGGUACUGCAUUGGAAACUGUCGUACUAGAGUGUCGGAGGGGUAAGCGGAAUUCCUAGUGUAGCGGUGAAAUGCGUAGAUAUUAGGAGGAACACCAGUGGCGAAGGCGGCUUACUGGACGAUAACUGACGCUGAGGCUCGAAAGCGUGGGGAGCAAACAGGAUUAGAUACCCUGGUAGUCCACGCCGUAAAAGAAGAAAAAUUAGGGGUUGGGAAGCAAUGCUUUUCGGUGCCGUCGCAAACGCAGUAAGUAUUCCACCUGGGGAGUACGUUCGCAAGAAUGAAACUCAAAGGAAUUGACGGGGACCCGCCCAAGCGGUGGAGCAUGUGGUUUAAUUCGAAGCAACGCGAAGAACCUCACCAAGUCUUGACAUCCUUCUGACCGGUACAUAACCGUACCUUCUCUUUGGAGCAGGAGUGACAGGUGGUGCAUGGUUGUCGUCAGCUCGUGUCGUGAGAUGUUGGGUUAAGUCCCGCAACGAGCGCAACCCUUAUCUUUAGUAGCCAGCGGUCAGGCCGGGCACUCUAGAGAGACUGCCAGGGAUAACCUGGAGGAAGGCGGGGAGGACGUCAAAUCAUCAUGCCCCCUAUGACUUGGGCUACACACGUGCUACAAUGGCGUAAACAAAGGGAAGCAAAGCUGUGAAGCCGAGCAAAUCUCAAAAAUAACGUCUCAGUUCGGACUGUAGUCUGCAACCCGACUACACGAAGCUGGAAUCGCUAGUAAUCGCAGAUCAGAAUGCUGCGGUGAAUACAAUCCCGGGUCUUGCACA